RNAcentral lists this long non-coding RNA (833 nucleotides) under Hordeum vulgare. RNAcentral's name for it is "long non-coding RNA (HVUL_LNC011563)". Lineage: Eukaryota; Viridiplantae; Streptophyta; Magnoliopsida; Poales; Poaceae. The record is from RNAcentral.
UCAUCUUUCAUACUAUUGAAUUAGUAUUUUCAUAUGAGGUUCUAGCAGAUGAAAUAUUUCCUAUAAAACUAGUACAAAUGAAUCAUAUGGAAAACGAAAUCAUGGAUUAUGGUCCUACGAAUCAAAAAAGUUAAACAGAAAAAGUUCAUGGGGAUUGGAAUCCUCCAUUCCUCUAGAAAUCCUAUGAAUCAAAGAGGCCCUAGAUGUGUGGGCCAUGAGGUUCGGGCAUUAUUUGCCUUGAACGCCAUGCAUAAACAUUCACGGCCCAGUUUGUAUGUGUGAAUUUUCACAAACCGAACCAAACCUAGGAGAACUAUAAUGCCAGUGAUAGUCUGUUUGGCCCACUAUUAGUUGAACCGCUNNNNNNNNNNNNNNNNNNNNCGCCUUCACACACAUGUGCUUUUCUUUUUCUUAGGUCCACUAGUACAUAUGCCUGUGCGUUGCAACGGGCUCCUCAUCUCUGUUGUAAUGUCCUCACAGGACGCAGCAGCCUCGACGGGCGCGUGGUCCCAACCUCCUACUGCUUCAUCCAACAAUUCAUCCUAGGGGAAUUGUGCUAGUUCCAAACUUGAACGUCGCAAAUCUACGCAUUCACAUACACCGAUUGAUGUGUUAUCGUUCCAAAGACGACAUCUCUGCUGCUCUAGAAGGCGCUUUGAGUGUCUGCACCAACCUUUAUGAAUUGCAACUGGGCUGCAUAAGAGCUAAAUAACAAAGCAUGAACUCUAUAUGUCUAUUGUGAAGAUAAGUAUACUAAGCACAGAUUUUUUUUGACUUUUUACCUUCAUACAUCAACACAAAUUGAUGUAAACUAUCGUUGUUGUGUAGCCAUG